Pteropus alecto (black flying fox) is the source of this 816-nucleotide long non-coding RNA. RefSeq lists it as uncharacterized. Lineage: Eukaryota; Metazoa; Chordata; Mammalia; Chiroptera; Pteropodidae. The record is from RefSeq and is a predicted model, not a curated record. The transcript is spliced from 3 exons.
CUUCCAAUAGCACGAUGAAGUUGGCAGGCUUUCUCCUCCUGGUGAUCCUAAUCACCCUCAGCCUAGAGGUACUGGAGCUUCAGGCUGCAGUGAGACCACUGCAACUUUUGGGCGCCUGCGUUGAGCUCUGCAGAGGUGACUGGGACUGUGAUCCAGGGGACCACUGUGUCAGCAAUGGGUGUGGCCACAUCUGUGUUUCAGACUAAAGACAAGUGAAAAAAAAUCAGAGUUCCUUAUCUUCAGAGAUGUGACUGUUUGGAGAGCCUUGCUCAGAAAGACAGAUGAAAAUGGGGACCUGCGAAUGGAGAUUAUGAGGGACGUGGUGGAGGGAAAAAAAGUUUUUUUGUUUUUUUAAUAAAUCAGCAUUGUUAAAAGUACCCACACUACUUGAAUUAUUUGGGCAAGGGUGAUGAAGAGGAGGAGGAAGAGGUGGGGGAUAGACGAUCUUUGUUGAACACUUGCUAUGCAACAAGGAUUGUGUUAUAUUUUCCACAAGCAUCAUCUAAUUUAUCCCUCCAGGAACUUUGUGACUGCUUAUUACCAUUGCCAUUUUACGUGUAAGGACACUGACGUUUGGAGAAAUUAAGUAAUUUGCUCAAAGUCAUAUAGCAGCUAGGUGUCAGGGUCUUAACUAUAAUCCCAGUGCAACCUAAGAUGAGCCACACUAAACUCAAAUCCUUUCUAUACUCUCUUUCACUCCACCUCUUCUGUGGUGAUGACCAGGCCUCAUGUCCUUCUAGCCCAGUGUGUUGGACAUCUCUUAUGCACUGCUUUAGAUACUCUUCACCUUAUACUCUUAUGCUAAGCAUUGCUACA